RNAcentral lists this transfer RNA (72 nucleotides) under Bos taurus (domestic cattle). It matches the Rfam family "tRNA". From Rfam's summary of the family: Transfer RNA (tRNA) molecules are approximately 80 nucleotides in length. Their secondary structure includes four short double-helical elements and three loops (D, anti-codon, and T loops). RNAcentral also lists the same sequence under 5 other names. The record is from Rfam by way of RNAcentral. Lineage: Eukaryota; Metazoa; Chordata; Mammalia; Artiodactyla; Bovidae.
UCCCAGGUGGCUCAACCAGUAAAGCGUCUGCCUGCAAUGCAGGAGACCCAGGUUCAAUCCCUGGGUCAGGAA